UCCUACGGGGGGCAGCAGUGAGGAAUAUUGGUCAAUGGUCGGGAGACUGAACCAGCCAAGCCGCGUGAGGGAUGAAGGUACAGAGUAUCGUAAACCUCUUUUGUCAGGGAACAAAGGCGGGGACGUGUCCCCGGAUGAGUGUACCAGAAGAAAAAGCAUCGGCUAACUCCGUGCCAGCAGCCGCGGUAAUACGGAGGAUGCGAGCGUUAUCCGGAUUUAUUGGGUUUAAAGGGUGCGCAGGCGGUCUGUUAAGUCAGCGGUCAAAGCCCGGGGCUCAACCCCGGCCCGCCGUUUAAACUGGCAGG
Molecule: ribosomal RNA, 305 nt
Filed under: uncultured bacterium
Lineage: Bacteria
Description: bacterial SSU rRNA
Rfam family: Bacterial small subunit ribosomal RNA
Source: RNAcentral